GAGUGUGUGGUGUACUGGUUGCACAACUGCUUCCAAACCAGUUAGGAGUGGGUUCGAAUCCUACCGCACUCGCCA
This 75-nucleotide transfer RNA is filed under the name Candidatus Peregrinibacteria bacterium. RNAcentral describes it as "tRNA-Trp". It matches the Rfam family "tRNA". From Rfam's summary of the family: Transfer RNA (tRNA) molecules are approximately 80 nucleotides in length. Their secondary structure includes four short double-helical elements and three loops (D, anti-codon, and T loops). Lineage: Bacteria; Candidatus Peregrinibacteriota. The record is from RNAcentral.